CUACCCGGGUAUCUAAUCCUGUUUGAUCCCCACGCUUUCGUGCCUCAGCGUCAAUGACCCUGUAGUGAGCUGCCUUCGCAAUUGGUGUUCUAUGUCAUAUCUAAGCAUUUCACCGCUACAUGACAUAUUCCGCUCACCUCCCGGGUAUUCAAGACAGAUAGUAUCAACGGCAGUUUCCGAGUUAAGCUCGAAGAUUUCACCACUGACUUACCUGCCCGCCUACGCACCCUUUAAACCCAGUGAAUCCGGAUAACGCUUGCACCCUCCGUAUUACCGCGGCGGCUGGCAC
Molecule: ribosomal RNA, 289 nt
Filed under: uncultured Chitinophagaceae bacterium
Lineage: Bacteria; Pseudomonadati; Bacteroidota; Chitinophagia; Chitinophagales; Chitinophagaceae
Description: partial 16S ribosomal RNA
Source: RNAcentral